AUGAUGCAUACAUGUCAACUAUGGGUGUUGGCUCCAACAAUUCGUAUUGGUCUCAAAUGCAAGCAAACAAUUGAGUUGGAUGAUGAUGAUGAGGAGGAGGAGGAGGAUGCAUCAAGUGAUGACGGCAAGAGAAGCCCCACACCCAACUCCGUUUCAUACUCGAAGCCAAAACGACCGGAUGGGUGCAAGAAAGACGCAAAAGAAAGGAAGAAGAGGAAAGGAGAUGAUGAGCUCAAAAAUGCUAUGGAAGCUAUUGUGAAGGUAAGAAAAGAAGGCAACGAGGUGAGGAAAAUGGCAAGGAACCAAGAUGCCGCGGCCGAGGAGAGGAGGUUGGCAGCCGAGGAGACGAGGGUGGCGGCCGAGGAGAGGAAGGUGGCUUUGGAGGAGAGGAAGGUGAGCAAUGAGGAGCGAACUAGAUUGUUGAAAUGGGAGAAGCACUUGUUCUUCUUGGACAUAUCUAUCCUCAAUGAGGCGCAAAAGGAAUAUGUCAAUCUUGAUCGUGAAGAAGUCUUGAUCCAAAAAAAAGUUAUGAUUCACGCAAUGGGUGGCGGUGGCCUUGGCGCCAUGGGUGGCUUCGAAGCUACCGUGGGCGGCUUAGGUGCCAUAGGUGGCUUUGGAGCUACCAUGAAAACCAUGGGAGCCAUGGGUGGCUUUGGAGCACCGCCUGGCGCCAUAGCCGCCAUGGGAAGCAUGAGUUUUGCUUCUCUUAUGGGAGGCAUGGGUGCUCCUCGUCGUACGUAUUUGGGAAGCAAAUGCAUCCAUGGUUUGUGUGUGUGA
This 777-nucleotide ribosomal RNA is filed under the name Triticum aestivum (bread wheat). RNAcentral describes it as "partial small subunit ribosomal RNA". The record is from RNAcentral. Lineage: Eukaryota; Viridiplantae; Streptophyta; Magnoliopsida; Poales; Poaceae.